This is a regulatory RNA element of Enterococcus hermanniensis, 129 nucleotides long. It matches the Rfam family "Ribosomal protein L20 leader". Rfam says of the family: This family is a putative r-protein leader autoregulatory structure found in B. subtilis and other low-GC Gram-positive bacteria. The record is from Rfam. Lineage: Bacteria; Bacillati; Bacillota; Bacilli; Lactobacillales; Enterococcaceae.
AAAUGAAAGCAGAAGCACCCGCUUCUCGCCUUACGCGAAUAUCUCGCUGGGCUAGAUAGUUAAUGACUGAUCUUUUCGAUGAGUCGAACUACGCGCGGGUUCGUAAAGAACUCGUUUUUUUAUUCGCUU